CAUAGCGACUAUCGUGGCAUAUCAAUAAGCGGAGGAAAAGAAACUAACAGGGAUUCCCUUAGUAACGGCGAGUGAAGCGGGAAGAGCUCAAAUUUGAAAUCUUCAAGGUUCUACCUUGGCGAAUUGUAGUUUAUAGAAGUGUUUUCUGUUAGUAGAGUGGCAAAAGUUCUUUGGAAUAGGACAUCAUAGAGGGUGAGAAUCCCGUAUUUGACCAUUAUUUCCAGCUUUGUGAUACACUUUCAAAGAGUCGGAUUGUUUGGGAAUGCAGUCCAAAAUGGGUGGUAAAUUUCAUCUAAAGCUAAAUAUUGGCGAGAGACCGAUAGCGAACAAGUACCGUGAGGGAAAGAUGAAAAGAACUUUGAAAAGAGAGUUAAACAGUACGUGAAAUUGUCAAAAGGGAAGCGUUUGACACCAGUGUUGUUUUUCCGAAAAUCAAUUACGAAUGUUUUAUUUUUGAGAAGUUAUGACUUCAUCGGCUUGCUUCUCUCUUUAUGAAACUUUCUUAAUGCACUUUUCGGUUAACAAGUCAACAUCAAUUUCUUUUGUUGUAAAAGAGUCAUUGGAAGGUGGCUUUCAUUUCGGUGAAAGUGUUUAUAGCCUUUGACUUCUGCAAUCGGAGAGAUUGAGGUCUGCAGCGUAGAUCCUUCGGGGUUAGAUGCAUUUGUGCUAAGUUAUAGCCUUUUCAUAGACAACUUGUUGACUAUGCUCAGUCAUGUACUUACUCGCAGUAUGCUAUUUUACCUACGCUUAGGAUGUUGAAGAUAUGCGCGACACG
RNAcentral lists this ribosomal RNA (775 nucleotides) under uncultured Neocallimastigales. Its description in RNAcentral is "partial large subunit ribosomal RNA". It matches the Rfam family "Eukaryotic large subunit ribosomal RNA", at positions 22 to 644 of the family's 3401-position model. Lineage: Eukaryota; Fungi; Neocallimastigomycota; Neocallimastigomycetes; Neocallimastigales. The record is from RNAcentral.